GACGAACGCUGGCGGCGUGCUUAACACAUGCAAGUCGAACGGGAGUAUUGAAGAAGCUUGCUUUAGAGAUACUUUAGUGGCGGACGGGUGAGUAACGCGUGAGGAGCUGUCCAAUGCAGGGGGACAACAGUUGGAAACGACUGCUAAUACCCCAUAAGCCGAGAGGUAAAGGAUUUAUCCGGCAGAGGAGGUACUCGCGUCCUAUCAGCUAGUAGGUGAGGUAACGGCUCACCUAGGCGAAGACGGGUAGCCGGCCUGAGAGGGCGAACGGCCACACUGGAACUGAGAUACGGUCCAGACUCCUACGGGAGGCAGCAGUGGGGAAUAUUGGGCAAUGGGGGGAACCCUGACCCAGCGACGCCGCGUGGGUGAAGAAAUCCUUCGGGAUGUAAAGCCCUGUUGUAUGGGAAGAGCGGAAGACGGUACCAUACGAGGAAGCCCCGGCAAACUACGUGCCAGCAGCCGCGGUAAU
This 472-nucleotide ribosomal RNA is filed under the name uncultured bacterium. Its description in RNAcentral is "bacterial SSU rRNA". It matches the Rfam family "Bacterial small subunit ribosomal RNA", at positions 28 to 524 of the family's 1533-position model. The record is from RNAcentral.